Molecule: ribosomal RNA, 477 nt
Filed under: uncultured organism
Description: partial 16S ribosomal RNA
Rfam family: Bacterial small subunit ribosomal RNA
Source: RNAcentral
GUACACUCCUACGGGAGGCAGCAGUGGGGAAUUUUGGACAAUGGGCGAAAGCCUGAUCCAGCAAUGCCGCGUGAGUGAAGAAGGCCUUCGGGUUGUAAAGCUCUUUUGUCAGGGAAGAAACGGUGAAAGCUAAUAUCUUUUGCUAAUGACGGUACCUGAAGAAUAAGCACCGGCUAACUACGUGCCAGCAGCCGCGGUAAUACGUAGGGUGCAAGCGUUAAUCGGAAUUACUGGGCGUAAAGCGUGCGCAGGCGGUUUUGUAAGUCUGAUGUGAAAUCCCCGGGCUCAACCUGGGAAUUGCAUUGGAGACUGCAAGGCUAGAAUCUGGCAGAGGGGGGUAGAAUUCCACGUGUAGCAGUGAAAUGCGUAGAUAUGUGGAGGAACACCGAUGGCGAAGGCAGCCCCCUGGGUCAAGAUUGACGCUCAUGCACGAAAGCGUGGGGAGCAAACAGGAUUAGAUACCCUUGUAGUCCCAUG